Molecule: ribosomal RNA, 450 nt
Filed under: uncultured bacterium
Lineage: Bacteria
Description: partial 16S ribosomal RNA
Rfam family: Bacterial small subunit ribosomal RNA
Source: RNAcentral
CCUACGGGUGGCUGCAGUGAGGAAUAUUGGUCAAUGGACGUAAGUCUGAACCAGCCAUCCCGCGUGCAGGAAGAAGGCGCUAUGCGUCGUAAACUGCUUUUCCAGGGGAAGAAAACCUGAUACGUGUAUCGGCUUGCCGGUACCCUGGGAAUAAGCAUCGGCUAACUCCGUGCCAGCAGCCGCGGUAAUACGGAGGAUGCGAGCGUUAUCCGGAUUUAUUGGGGCGAAGGGGUAUGAAUAAGGAUGCAUAGAAAACCUUCAGCUUAACUGGAGACUUGCCAUUGAUACUGUUAGUCUUGAGUACGGUCAAGGUAGGCGGAAUGUGUAAUGUAGCGGUGAAAUGCUUAGAUAUUACACAGAACACCGAUUGCGAAGGCAGCUUACUGGGCCAUUACUGACGCUGAUGCACGAAAGCGUGGGGAGCGAACAGGAUUAGAUACCCGAGUAGUC